CCUACGGGAGACAGCAGUGGGGGAUAUUGCACAAUGGGGGAAACCCUGAUGCAGCGACGCCGCGUGAGUGAAGAAGUAUUUCGGUAUGUAAAGCUCUAUCAGUAGGGAAGAAAAUGACAGUACCUGACCAAGCAGCCCCGGCUAACUACGGGCCAGAAGCCGGGGGAAUACGAAGGUGGCAAGCGUUGCCCGGAUUUACUGGGUGUAAAGGGGAUGCAGCGGGGAAGACAAGUCAGAUGGGAAAUCCCGCGGCUCAACCGCGGAACUGCAUUUGAAACUGUUUCUCUUGAGUACCGGAGAGGUCGUCGGAAUUCCGUGUGUAGCGGUGAAAUGCGUAGAUAUAAGGAAGAACACCGGUGGCGAAGGCGGAUGACUGGACGGCAACUGACGGUGAGGCGCGAAAGCGUGGGGAGCAAACAGGAUUAGAUACCCGGGUAGUC
RNAcentral lists this ribosomal RNA (440 nucleotides) under uncultured bacterium. Its description in RNAcentral is "partial 16S ribosomal RNA". It matches the Rfam family "Bacterial small subunit ribosomal RNA", at positions 338 to 795 of the family's 1533-position model. The record is from RNAcentral.